GUCUCAGGUGUCAGGGAUCUAUAUUUAUCUUGUGUUUGGCAUGUGCCUGAAGUGUUAGAAUGCUCAGGAUAUCAAUGGCUUUCAGAUGUUAGGACAACCUUGUAGAUAAAUGAAUGCUGGAGAGCCUGGGACUCCUCUUUGAGCUCUCAGCUGCUGUGCUGUAGAGAUCAUGUGUUUACUUUCUGCCUCUCCUCCCACAGUCUCUCUGAAGCUGGUCUUGAGGUCCUACGACUGGGCAAGCACGCUCUUCUAGAAGGUGGUGAGCAAAAUUCUUCUUGUUUGGGAGCAUGGCUAUAAAUAUCGU
RNAcentral lists this long non-coding RNA (304 nucleotides) under Marmota monax (woodchuck). The record is from RNAcentral. Lineage: Eukaryota; Metazoa; Chordata; Mammalia; Rodentia; Sciuridae.